RNAcentral lists this ribosomal RNA (253 nucleotides) under uncultured bacterium. RNAcentral's name for it is "partial 16S ribosomal RNA". It matches the Rfam family "Bacterial small subunit ribosomal RNA", at positions 524 to 776 of the family's 1533-position model. The record is from RNAcentral.
UACAGAGGUCUCAAGCGUUGUUCGGAUUCAUUGGGCGUAAAGGGUGCGUAGGUGGCGUGGUAAGUCGGGUGUGAAAUUUCGGAGCUUAACUCCGAAACUGCAUUCGAUACUGCCGUGCUUGAGGACUGGAGAGGAGAUUGGAAUUUACGGUGUAGCAGUGAAAUGCGUAGAGAUCGUAAGGAAGACCAGUGGCGAAGGCGGGUCUCUGGACAGUUCCUGACACUGAGGCACGAAGGCCAGGGGAGCAAACGGG